UAAUAUACUAUUUUAGUGUGGAGUGAAUGCCUUGGAAGAAAAAUAUAGGCGCGGACAAUCGCGAAAGUGUUGACACGAGGAAAGCCUGUGACGUCAACCAACCUAAAAUGGGAAACCGGGGCUAAAAAGCCCGCUGCUUAGGCAGUAUCAAGGGGAAGUGAAACAUCUCAGUACCCUGUAGACCAAAUCAACCGAGAUAUCGUUAGUAGUGGUGAGCGAAAGCGAUAAAAAGGCAAAACGAAAAUUUUAUUAUUAAGAAUGAAAAGAAGUUUUGUUUUUCAAUGAAAUUUCUACCUUAGAAGGUGUUAGUCCUGUAAUUCUUUUUUUUUUUGUGAAAGUAAGACGAGGCAAGUUUACCUUGUCUGAGUAUUGGGGGACCACCCUCAAAGCCUAUAGUUAUUUUUCUUACCGAUAGUGAACAAGUACCGUGAGGGAAAGGUGAAAAAGAAGUUGCGACAGUGCAAAGAUCCUGAAACUCCAUAUUUGAGUCGGAGCUAUAAAAAGCAACGGCAUACCUUUUGUAUAAUGGGCAAGUGAAUCUUAAUAAAGGGCAAGCUUAAGCUAAUAAAAGUGUAGGCGAAGAGAAAUCGAGUCCUAUGUGGCAUCCUAAAGUCCUUUGUUAAGUACCCGAAACCGGCUGAUCUAAACUUGAGCAGGCUGAUAUUGUAGUGGCAACAUUCUUUGGAGGGCCGAACCCGUGUAUGUGGCAAAAUACUGGGAUGACUUGAGUUUAGGGGUGAAAGGCCAAUCAAAGUCGGUGAUAGCUGGAUUUCUGCGAAAUCUAUUGAAGUAGAGCGUCCUAAACAGUAAAUCUGGGGUAGAGCACUGUAUAAGCAAGGGGGAGAUCUUCUCUUACUAAACUUUGGCAAACUCCGAAUACAGAUUUUUCAUUUAGGGCAGACAGAGUAUGUAUGCUAAGAUUCAUACUCAAGAGGGAAACAGCCCAGACUGUAGGCUAAGGUCCACAAAAUAGUUUCAGUGGUAAAGGUGAUAUCUGCUCUGAGACCGUCAGGAGGUAGGCUUGGAAGCAGCCAUCCUUUUAAGACAGCGUAACAGCUCACUGACCUAGAGUAGAAGUCCCGCCAAUUUUGAGGGCUUAAAACUAUUACCGAAGCCUCAGACAAAAAUGUUAAGAUAAUUAAAAACUCUUAUAUUUUGUGGUAGCAGAACAUUCCGUAGGUCAUAGAAGUUUUGACGUAAGUUAAGAUCAAGAUAUCGGAAGCGAGAAUACUUGCAUGAGUAGCAUAAAACAAUGAAAUUAAAGCAUUGUGGCCGUAAGUCCAAGGUUUACGAUCUUAAGUAAAACUGGGUCGUGAGAGGGUAACACCUCGAUUUAAAACGGUCCCUAAGCUGUUAAGCCAAAGCUUGCAGUAAUGGGUAAGAUUAAACUGUUAAAAGUUGCUGACGAAAAAUUCACCUUAUUCUUGAAUUUGUCAAGAGUGAGUUAUUUUUUCCAAGAAAAAGGCACUUUAUUUAUACCGUACCUUAAACCGCCUCAGGUGGACGGGUGGAGAACACUAAGGCCUUGAGAUAACCCUGUUGAAGGAACUCGGCAAAAUGACUCUGUAACUUCGGAAUAAGGAGUAAAGGCAUGUAGCGCAAGCUUUUGUCUUUGUCACAAAAUCGGGGGUGGCGACUGUUUAUUAAAAACACAGGUCUCUGCUAACUCGUAAGAGGAUGUAUAGGGACUGACACCUGCCCGGUGCCGGUAGGUGAAGCUUUGAUGUUUACGCAUUGAGGUCAAACCCCGGUAAACGGCGGCUGUAACUAUGACGGUCCUAAGGUAGCGAAAUUCCUUGUCGGGUAAGUUCCGACCCGCAUGAAUGGUGUAACGACUUCCCCGCUGUCUCCAACAGGGACUCAGUGAAAUUACAUAGGUCGUGAAGAUGCGACCAUCCCACAGCUGGACGGAAAGACCCCGUGCACCUUUACUAUAAGCAAAUAUUGUAGGUCAAAGACUCUAGUGUAGAAUAGGUGGGAGCUUAUGAUUCUUUCUCGUCAGAGUCUGAUGAGGCGAUAGUGAAAUACCACCCCGAGAUCUGUUGGCUUACUAACUAAGGGACAGUGUUUGCUGGGUAGUUUGACUGGGGCGGUCGCCUCCUAAAGAGUAACGGAGGCAUACAAAGGUAGGUUCAUCUCCUUCUAAGGGGAAUUGAGUAUAAUGGUAUAAACCUGCUUGACUGAAAGAAAGACAUUUCGAUCAGAGACGUAAGUCGGUCAUAGUGAUCCGGUGGUUCUUUGUGGAAAGGCCAUCGCGCAAUGGAUAAAAGGUACGCCGGGGAUAACAGGCUAAUGAUCCUCUAGAGCCCCUAUCGACGGGUUCGUUUGGCACCUCGAUGUCGACUCAUCACAUCCUGGAGCUGGAAAAGGUUCCAAGGGUUCGGCUGUUCGCCGACGAAAGUGGUACGUGAGUUGGGUUUAGAACGUCGUGAGACAGUUUGGUCCCUAUCUUCUGUGGGUGUUUGAAAAUUCCGAGGACUAGACCUUAGUACGAGAGGACCGGGAAAACUCGAUCCCUUGUGUUCCGGUUGUUCCCUAAGGGGCAUCGCCGGGUAGCUACAUCGAGAAGAGAUAAUCGACCGUUAGGCGAGAAACUCUCCUCUAGUAAAGUUUUCUAAAGGGGGUGGAAGAUUACCACUUUGAUAGGCGGGAGGUGUAAGAGCUGUAAGGUUUUCAGCUGACCCGUACUAAUCCCUAGAAAAAUAAAAUUAUAUAGUUUUUGC
This 2723-nucleotide ribosomal RNA is filed under the name Alaria esculenta (Atlantic wakame). Its description in RNAcentral is "large subunit ribosomal RNA". It matches the Rfam family "Bacterial large subunit ribosomal RNA". The record is from RNAcentral. Lineage: Eukaryota; Phaeophyceae; Laminariales; Alariaceae.